UCCGGUUUGGCACCGGCAGUCCUCCCAGAGUCCUCGACUUGACUCGCUAGCAACUGGGAGCGGGGGUUGCGCUCGUUGCGGGACUUAACCCAACAUCUCACGACACGAGCUGACGACAGCCAUGCAGCACCUGUGAAGGUCCGGCCGAACCGACCCCGUGUUUCCACGGGUACGACCUACAUGUCAAGCCCAGGUAAGGUUCUUCGCGUUGCGUCGAAUUAAACCACAUGCUCCACCGCUUGUGCGGGCCCCCGUCAAUUCCUUUGAGUUUCAUUCUUGCGAACGUACUCCCCAGGUGGGAUACUUAUCACUUUCGCUUAGCCACUCAAGUUUGCACUCGAACAGCUAGUAUCCAUCGUUUACGGCGUGGACUAC
RNAcentral lists this unclassified non-coding RNA (375 nucleotides) under uncultured bacterium. RNAcentral's name for it is "contains 16S-23S intergenic spacer region". The record is from RNAcentral.